RNAcentral lists this ribosomal RNA (839 nucleotides) under Apiospora rasikravindrae. Its description in RNAcentral is "Arthrinium rasikravindrae partial large subunit ribosomal RNA". It matches the Rfam family "Eukaryotic large subunit ribosomal RNA", at positions 78 to 943 of the family's 3401-position model. The record is from RNAcentral. Lineage: Eukaryota; Fungi; Ascomycota; Sordariomycetes; Amphisphaeriales; Apiosporaceae.
CCCUAGUAACGGCGAGUGAAGCGGGAACAGCUCAAAUUUGAAAUCUGGCCCUUGGGUCCGAGUUGUAAUUUGCAGAGGAUGCUUUUGGUGCGGUGCCUUCCGAGUUCCCUGGAACGGGACGCCUUAGAGGGUGAGAGCCCCGUACGGUUGGCCACCAAGCCUGUGUAAAGCUCCUUCGACGAGUCGAGUAGUUUGGGAAUGCUGCUCAAAAUGGGAGGUAUAUUUCUUCUAAAGCUAAAUACUGGCCAGAGACCGAUAGCGCACAAGUAGAGUGAUCGAAAGAUGAAAAGCACUUUGAAAAGAGGGUUAAAUAGCACGUGAAAUUGUUGAAAGGGAAGGAUUUAUGACCAGACUUUUUCUAGGGGGAUCAUCCGGUGUUCUCACCGGUGCACUUCCCCUAGUUGAGGCCAGCAUCGGUUUCUGUCGGGGGAUAAAAGCUUCGGGAAUGUGGCUCCCUCCGGGGAGUGUUAUAGCCCGUUGCAUAAUACCCUGACGGGGACCGAGGUUCGCGCAUUGCAAGGAUGCUGGCGUAAUGGUUAUUAAUCACCCGUCUUGAAACACGGACCAAGGAGUCGAACAUUUGUGCGAGUGUUUGGGUGUUAAACCCUCACGCGUAAUGAAAGUGAACGGAGGUGAGAGCCCUUCGGGGUGCAUCAUCGACCGAUCCUGAUGUCUUCGGAUGGAUUUGAGUAAGAGCAUAACUGUUCGGACCCGAAAGAUGGUGAACUAUGCGUGGAUAGGGUGAAGCCAGAGGAAACUCUGGUGGAGGCUCGCAGCGGUUCUGACGUGCAAAUCGAUCGUCAAAUCUGCGCAUGGGGGCGAAAGACUAAUCGAACCAU